RNAcentral lists this long non-coding RNA (1167 nucleotides) under Solanum tuberosum (potato). RNAcentral describes it as "long non-coding RNA (STUB_LNC011339)". Lineage: Eukaryota; Viridiplantae; Streptophyta; Magnoliopsida; Solanales; Solanaceae. The record is from RNAcentral.
AAAGGAUCUGCAACUGGAUACUUUACCAAUGGUCUAAUGCUAAGGAAUAAGGAUGUAUUGCUGGAUUUAGAGAUUGCAGUCAUAGUAAUGUACCCAACUUCUAACGGAAGGUAAAAUAGUUUUAUUAUACAAGGCCAGGUUUGCUAUCUUAUUGAUUUAUAAGGAUAGGUUUAUUAGAUUUUGUUGUCUAGCUGUUACAUGAAAAUAGCAUCUACUUUUAGAUCUGGCAUCAACACAAAAAUAGUUUGAUGAUCUUGCAAGAUUCAGCUAUAAAACACAAAUGGUCGCAGAUGACUCUUUUCUUUUCGUGUCAUACAAUUAAUUGUGAAAAAUAACCAUCUACAUUUUGUCUAUAGAAUCUUCCUUAUCCUGCAACGCAUCUGCAGCCUUUUUCAUUUUAGCUUCAGACAGUGCGGAUUCCUCUUCUUUCUUUAUCAUCAGUUGUUUUGCCUGUUUGAGAGCUUCAACCAGCUUCAGAAGGCAUUUCUCUGAGUCUUCUUUCAGGGAGCUGGGCAUCAGGUUCUCUGCAACAUCGGCAGGUAUAAUCUUUGUCUCCCUCGUUAGAAUUUCAAUUGAUUCAAAUAUGGGAUGUGUGUCCAAGCGCAGGUAAUUCUUUGCAAGCACCUUGAAUCCAUCAAAACUACAGUAUGAGAGCUCGAUGUGCUUAUCCAUUCUUCCCCUUCUUGUAAGAGCUGGAUCCAACUUAUCUACAUAAUUUGUAGUAAAGACAAUUAUACGUUCUCCACUGCAUGCAGACCAAAGACCGUCAAUGAAGUUCAGAAGCCCAGAGAGAGUGACUCUACUUCCACUCUCUUCAGUGUCCUUGCGAGAAACUUCUUUCUUUGUCUUUUCAAUCUUCUCUUCUGGAGGUUUCUUCUUCCUUUGACCGGUUAGAUCAAGUGAGCAGUCAAUAUCUUCUAUCACUAUAAUAGACUUACUUGUUGUUUCAGCCAAGAGCCUUCUCAAUUCUGUGUUGUCCCUCACAGAUGUCAAUUCAAGAUCACAGACGUCAUAAUCCAAUAAAUUUGCCAUUGCAGCAAUCAUAGUAGACUUCCCAGUACCCGGCGGACCAUAUAGUAGAUAACCACGCUUCCACGCCUUGCCAAUCCUCGCAUAGAAAUCCUUGCUCUCUCUAAACAUGAGGAGAUCAUCCACAAUAUCUUGCUU